Molecule: transfer RNA, 56 nt
Filed under: Calliandra juzepczukii
Lineage: Eukaryota; Viridiplantae; Streptophyta; Magnoliopsida; Fabales; Fabaceae
Description: partial tRNA-Leu
Source: RNAcentral
GGCUUAAAAUCCCGUCGAUUUUAGAAAUCGGGAGGGUUCAAAUCCCUCUAUCCCCA